GACGAACGCUGGCGGCGUGCCUAAUACAUGCAAGUCGAACGAACCGCGACUAGGUGCUUGCACUUGGUCAAGGUGAGUGGCGAACGGGUGAGUAACACGUGGGUAACCUACCUCAUAGUGGGGGAUAACAGUCGGAAACGACUGCUAAUACCGCAUAGGACAUAGGAUCACAUGAUUCUGUGAGGAAAGGUGGCGCAAGCUAUCGCUAAGAGAUGGACCCGCGGUGCAUUAGCUAGUUGGUAGGGUAAAGGCCUACCAAGGCGAUGAUGCAUAGCCGACCUGAGAGGGUGAUAGGCCACAUUGGGACUGAGACACGGCCCAAACUCCUAAGGGAGGCAGCAGUAGGGAAUCUUACGCAAUGGACGCAAGUCUGACGGAGCAACGCCGCGUGAGUGAAGAAGGUCUUCGGAUCGUAAAGCUCUGUUGUUAGAGAAGAACAGCGCAUAGAGUAACUGUUAUGCGUGUGACGGUAUCUAACCAGAAAGCCACGGCUAACUACGUG
RNAcentral lists this ribosomal RNA (502 nucleotides) under uncultured bacterium. Its description in RNAcentral is "partial 16S ribosomal RNA". It matches the Rfam family "Bacterial small subunit ribosomal RNA", at positions 28 to 507 of the family's 1533-position model. The record is from RNAcentral.